AUAUCGUCAGAAAUUAUAUGUGCCAGGAUCAUACAAACUCAAAGUUCGUAAUGUGCUUGUAUGCUCUAGUGUAGGCUAUCCUUGUUUGUAAAACUGCAACGCUGUUGUGUGAUGGAGUGAAAUCUUUAACUCCAUCUGUUUGUGAUGUUUGUUAACGCAUUUGUUUUGUCUCUCAGGUGCUGUAAGGAGUGAGGUGCCCUUCCCUGAUAGGAGAAAAAACACCUAAACAAGGUAUAACCAUAUGGAACUAAUAAAUCCAUGAAGACCGAUCCCGUAGUGAUGCCCCCAGUCCCCCGCCCAGGUCCAGACAUGAUAAAAGAGUACAGCGCAGUGAUCUCAGCACAUGACAGGCACGAUGCAGUGACUGAGACUGUGUUCCAGAAAAAUGUCCUGAAACUACUGGUCGACAUCCGCCAUCGCCUGAAGGAAACCAGAAGGGAUCAUGAAAUUUGGUUCCAUAGCCACUGAGGUGUAUGUACAUCAAGGUGAACGUGUGUGAGCACCUCAAGCACGCGUCGCAAAGACUUGGAGGUGGAGGAUUCACUACGCCCCGAUGAGCCUACAGGACUUGAAUUAAGAGUUUUAAAGGGAUAGUUCACUUUAAAAUUAAUUUUUGAUAUGUUUUAGCUUACCUCAAGGGCAUCCAAGAUGUA
Molecule: non-coding RNA, 653 nt
Organism: Pimephales promelas (fathead minnow)
Lineage: Eukaryota; Metazoa; Chordata; Actinopteri; Cypriniformes; Leuciscidae
Source: RefSeq, a predicted model, not a curated record